AACGAACGCUGGCGGCAUGCCUAACACAUGCAAGUCGAACGGGAUCCUGGCUUCGGCCAGGUGAGAGUGGCGGACGGGUGAGUAACGCGUGGGAACCUGCCCAUUGGUCUGGGAUAACUGCGGGAAACUGCAGCUAAUACCGGAUGUACCCGAGAGGGGAAAGAUUUAUCGCCGAUGGAGGGGCCCGCGUCAGAUUAGGUAGUUGGUGAGGUAACGGCUCACCAAGCCUACGAUCUGUAGCUGGUCUGAGAGGAUGAUCAGCCACACUGGGACUGAGAUACGGCCCAGACUCCUACGGGAGGCAGCAGUGGGGGAAUAUUGGACAAU
This 327-nucleotide ribosomal RNA is filed under the name uncultured bacterium. RNAcentral describes it as "bacterial SSU rRNA". It matches the Rfam family "Bacterial small subunit ribosomal RNA", at positions 29 to 372 of the family's 1533-position model. The record is from RNAcentral.